GAUGCAGGCGGUCAAGUUAGUCGGACGUGAAAGCCCAGGGCCCAACCCUGGAACUGCGCUCGAAACUGCUUGACUAGAGUCCCGGAGGGGAAGGCGGAAUUCCCGGUGUAGAGGUGAAAUUCGUAGAUAUCGGGAGGAACACCAGUGGCGAAGGCGGCCUUCUGGACGGUGACUGAUGCUCAGAUCCGAAAGCGUGGGGAGCAAACAGGAUUAGAUACCCUGGUAGUCC
RNAcentral lists this ribosomal RNA (229 nucleotides) under uncultured bacterium. RNAcentral's name for it is "partial 16S ribosomal RNA". It matches the Rfam family "Bacterial small subunit ribosomal RNA", at positions 568 to 796 of the family's 1533-position model. The record is from RNAcentral.